This 250-nucleotide ribosomal RNA is filed under the name uncultured bacterium. RNAcentral describes it as "partial 16S ribosomal RNA". It matches the Rfam family "Bacterial small subunit ribosomal RNA", at positions 355 to 605 of the family's 1533-position model. The record is from RNAcentral.
UAGGGAAUAUUGCGCAAUGGGGGAAACCCUGACGCAGCAACUCCACGUGUGGGAUGAAGCAUUUCGGUGUGUAAACCACUGUCGAGAGGGAAUAAUGUUUCGCUUCGGCGGAAUUGAAUGUACCUCUAAAGGAAGCACCGGCAAACUUCGUGCCAGCAGCCGCGGUAAUACGAGGGGUGCAAGCGUUGUUCGGAAUCACUGGGCGUAAAGGGAGCGUAGGCGGAAUGACAAGCAUGCUGUAUAAUCCCGG